Molecule: ribosomal RNA, 253 nt
Filed under: uncultured bacterium
Lineage: Bacteria
Description: partial 16S ribosomal RNA
Rfam family: Bacterial small subunit ribosomal RNA
Source: RNAcentral
UACAGAGGGUGCGAGCGUUAAUCGGAAUUACUGGGCGUAAAGCGCGCGUAGGCGGCCAACUAAGUCGGACGUGAAAUCCCCAGGCUCAACCUGGGAACUGCGUCCGAUACUGGAUGGCUUGAAUCCGGGAGAGGGAUGCAGAAUUCCAGGUGUAGCGGUGAAAUGCGUAGAUAUCUGGAGGAAUACCGGUGGCGAAGGCGGCAUCCUGGACCGGCAUUGACGCUGAGGAGCGAAAGCCAGGGGAGCAAACGGG